CUACGGGGGGCUGCAGUGGGGAAUAUUGCACAAUGGGCGCAAGCCUGAUGCAGCAACGCCGCGUGAGUGAAGAAGGUCUUCGGAUCGUAAAACUCUGUCCUAUGGGAAGAAAAAAAUGACGGUACCAUGGGAGGAAGCCCCGGCUAACUACGUGCCAGCAGCCGCGGUAAUACGUAGGGGGCAAGCGUUAUCCGGAAUCACUGGGCGUAAAGGGUGCGUAGGCGGCUUGUCAAGCCAGAGGUGAAAGGCAUUGGCUCAACCAAUGUAAGCCUUUGGAACUGACGAGCUUGAGUACAGGAGAGGUAAGUGGAAUUCCUAGUGUAGAGGUGAAAUUCGUAGAUAUUAGGAGGAACACCAGUGGCGAAGGCGACUUACUGGACUGUAACUGACGCUGAGGCACGAAAGCGUGGGUAGCGAACAGGAUUAGAUACCCCAGUAGUC
This 441-nucleotide ribosomal RNA is filed under the name uncultured bacterium. RNAcentral's name for it is "partial 16S ribosomal RNA". It matches the Rfam family "Bacterial small subunit ribosomal RNA", at positions 339 to 795 of the family's 1533-position model. The record is from RNAcentral.